Anguilla anguilla (European eel) is the source of this 889-nucleotide long non-coding RNA. RefSeq lists it as uncharacterized. Lineage: Eukaryota; Metazoa; Chordata; Actinopteri; Anguilliformes; Anguillidae. The transcript has 3 exons. The record is from RefSeq and is a predicted model, not a curated record.
CCUGUUGGUUGUGUAGCUAUGAAAGAACACGUGAUUACAGUUUAUCUAACCCCCAUCCUCCCAAAAUGCAAGUAAUUAAUUCUAUUCUGCCUGAUAACGCAACAUUUAGCUUAAUACAGUCAUGAAUCGUCGAUUUAUUUCUGCAUGACAGGUAGAUUAUCAUGCCUAGCCUGCUAGCUAGCAAGAUUAUUUUACCAGCUGGCGUCAAAGCCAGCUAAGGAAGCAAACAAUAUUGGAAUUGUCAUUGGCUAUAUCAAUACAUUGUAACUUUCUGUUCAUGUCAUUCUUACUAAUGGUGUAUGUUAGCUGUUUUACAUUUCCUUUGCAAAGUCUUAAAACUGACUUGCUGGAUGGAUUUUUUAAAUAGAAGUUAACUGGAAAAUUGAUGGACACACUAACUUGCGUCUGACUAGAUGCCUGCAAUAGGCAUUACGUUUCCGGUUAGAUUUAGUUUCAGUUUUAUAUUGAAAAUUCGGAUCCCGUGUACAUCUGCCAUGGGAAAUUCCCUUUGAAAAACUUUGAAAACGCUGCACUGCACGAACAAGAAUGAAGGGAAGCUUGGAAAAAUUGUGAGAAGGCGCUCAUCGAAUUUCGAAGUUCAGCGUCCUCUCAGAAGGAGCUUCCAUCGCUGGCUGAUCUCUGGCAAUAAAGACCCUCAUCGUUCGGAUGGUGAAGUCAGGAAAAACGGCACAGUUUGGGGAGCAGACGGAUCUCGCGGAAGCAGACGCCAGUCACGGCGCGCGCUGAAGUUUGGGAGUUUGGAUUCGGGUGAUGACACUGAUGAACGCCCUAAUUUAUGACUGCGGGACCGCGGGACAGUGUGACUUCUCACUAUUCCUCAGUGGCGAAUGAUCAGUCGACGGCAGAGAUGAGCAUCUGGAAUCUGGAG